Molecule: long non-coding RNA, 4298 nt
Organism: Carassius gibelio (silver crucian carp)
Lineage: Eukaryota; Metazoa; Chordata; Actinopteri; Cypriniformes; Cyprinidae
Exons: 2
Source: RefSeq, a predicted model, not a curated record
UAUUUUAUGGUUUUAGUUUUCAUUUCAUUAUCGUUUUAGUUUUAGUUAGCUAUAAUAACCCAGGUUUAAAUAUAUUAAUAAUAUAAUAAGACAAAUAAUAUUAAAUAAUGCUUAAAUAUAAUAUAAAUUGAUAUUUAAAUAAUCUUGUUUUUUUAUUAGAUUUUUAUUUUUAUUUUUGAGAUUUAGGGAUGUUAAGAUAUUUGUGCUAAAGAACAACAAAAAUACAAAGAAAAUCUUUAUUUAUUUAUUUAUCUAUUUGCUAGAAAACAAGAUAUUAUUAAAGUAUUAGUCAAUUAAUGCUCCAUUCAUUGCAGUGAAAUUGCUGAUAUGAGGAGAUUAUGGUAAACUAGGGCUGUAACGGUGCACCAAGCAGAAAUUGGUUCGUAACUGAAUACAAACUCUUGUAACGAAUCAAUACAGUGUUAAAACCUUUUUACAGAUUUUUUAACGCAUUUUUUAACGUAUUCUUUCUAACGUAUAUUUCCAAAAAGCGAGCAUGUUCAGUUUGCUCAAGUGGUCAUGUGGAUGGAGCUCAGCGGUCAGAAUGAUCUCUGAUUAUUUUCUGGUUGUGUUAAUCACUCUGUAGAGAGCGGGGAUGACUUCUGCGCUGACAGACGCUGUGAUUACAGCAGGCAGCGUUUGCUCAUUUCUCAGUCUCUGCAGGCCGUUUGUUCACGCUGUGAAUGUGCUGCACUGAUGAAUAAUCGCUGGUCUGGAGCAAUUAUUCCAUGAUACGACGGAUACAGGGUCCAAAUCUUAUUCUUUCCAUUAUAUCUGUAUGCUUAAAACACAUCUUGUUAAGAACAAGAGAAGAAAACGUUCUCGUGGUGGUAGUAAUUAGAAGGAUGCAUUCUACAUUCACUAGAUGUUUUAAUGGGUAUUUAUUUAUUUAUUAAUAAUAAAUAAAUAGUUAUUUAUUAUUAAUAAAUAGUUUGUUUGUUUGUUUAACAUAUUUUACACAUAUUAUGACCAAUGGAACACAAAUACAGCUUUAUAAUAUAGCAAAUGUAUUUAUUAUUUAUUUUAUUUUUUUGCCAAAUGGUACACAACUGGUCCUAAAACUGAGAAUCUGUGAACCGUUACUUCCCUAGUAUUAAAAACUGGCAAAAACAAAUUAAUGAUGUAUUUUAGAUGUUUUAAAUACCUCCAGAAAUAAUAUAACUUUUUGGUUUGGUUUAGCUUUGGUUCAUGUUGAAAUUGUUUAAUAUAUAUAUAUCUGUAUAACCGUGGCAAAUAAUAUCUUAAGGGUUUUUAUGGAUCCAGGAUGCUACACUGGAAUGCUUAUUUUAAAGAAAACACUAUGUAUAAGACAUGAUAAAUAAUUAUAUAUUUUCUUUACAUUUUGCCUGUAUGUCAAGAAGCCAAGUAGCAAGAUACAUUGAAUUUGAACAUAUUUAAUCUGUUAUGUCAUCCACUCUGCUUUCUAUCCUUUCAUUUUAGUUUUUUAGCAUCUUGUUCAUUUAAUAGCAGUGUAGAGGUAUUUGAGCUGCAGAAUUGAUUGUAAAACUGAUUAUUUUCUGCCUCAUUCACACCGAGGAGACCCCGAUUACUGCAUGCUGCUUCCCCAAGCAAUACUAUUCACCCAUUUAUAGAAAAACUGCGUCAAAUAAUAUUAUAAACGCAAAAUAUAUAGAUGCUUAUAGUCUAUAGUUAAGUGUUCAAACCUAGAGAACAUUAGACAUAUUUAGCACUCCUAGCUGCUAAAGUGGUUUCUCUAAUAGUCUGCGUUCACACUCCACUUACUCUAAACCAGAUCGGAGACACGCUAGAAAAGACAUGUUUUUUUUUUUUAGUAGGCAAUGCAUGCAUGAAAUCUUGUAGCCUAAUAAUUGAAGAUGUGCUCAUUGCUUAACAGAUUCAAAACAUAUGUGCAUAAUAAUUUCCCCUCAAGCAGUCCUUUGGUAACGAACGCGUGUGCAUGUGCUAGCGCCGUCGAAACUUAUUCUAGAGACGUAAAAACACAUUUAUUAUGAGCACCGCGUGCAUGUUACACUGAUGGUGCUCCGGGACUCGAUCUUUGUAUUCUGUAUAGACACACAUGUAGUGAAUUUACUAAUAGAGAACUCACUGAUUAAGAAUAUGCUCGAUUCACAUUACUGUACACUAACAUAACACAAUAGUGAUUUUAUUCAUAGGCUAUCUGAAGAAAUGUUGGCUUGACAGAAACCCUGAAGCAAAUGCUGCCCUCUAGUGUGUAGUGGGACUUUAUUUUGAGUCCAGUCUCAUGAAAAUGCGUAUAAAUAGUAUGCCAAAUAAAAAAGAAAACGUGUUUUAUUGAUACGCUGACAUGGACAUUAGCGUGCAUAUACUGUAAUAUGCAGGUUUCUCGUACAUAAGAGACGCAUGUAUACCACACAACCCGAAACCUAGUCAUCACGUAGCAUAUGCACGCCAAAGUCCAUUUUUGCAUAUCAAUACCACGAGAUUUUGUUAAUUAUUAUAUUUCAUGAGACAGGGUUAUUAUUUUUGUAUGUUUUCUACAUGUAAACCUGCACCUGUUGAUGUUUCUUCUCCUUGUUAGCAGGCAAACACAUGCACUGAACAAAUGUUUUUUUUUUUGUGUGUGUGUGUGUGUGCACUGAAGGUUUUUAUUUUCUGAACGAAUAAAACUGACGAGAGUGCAUUUCAACAGGUCUGGACGGAGCAAAGGCGCGUGUGCAUGUGUAUUAAAUAUAUGAAUGUGUAGAUAUUGAGCUGAAUUUAUAUUUAAUAUAUCAAGAAACAGAGAAACUUUCACGCUUUUCUUUUUCUUAUAAAAUCUGAUGAUGAUCAAGGUGGUAUUAAAACUCUUAUAAGCAAUGUAAAUUUUAUGAAAAUGUAUGUUUUUUUUUUUCUUGUUGUUGUUUAUUCAUUUUCCCUCAAAUUGGAAUUCAAAUUUACGUAUCAGUAGUAGUUUUCUAUCCUUGCUUGAUACACUAUAAUAGUUAUUAUUUCUGCAUUAAUAUUUGCUUUUCGUAAUAAUUUUGUAUGUUAUUUUGUCUUAUAAGAGGGCUGCACACUGCUCGAGUGCUCCUGCUUCAUACUGUUCCUGAUUUCUGGCAGGAUUAUUAAUUAUUAUUAUUCAUUUUUAUUUAGUUUUGUGUCAAACAUGGCACUAUUAAUAUGCACUUUGCAUUUAUAUGUGUCUGUUCAAUUAUUGUUUGUUAACUCUGAUUGAUGCUGAAGCUGAAUGUUGGAGUGAAAAUUCAGAUUCUGUUCACCUUUCUAUGGCUUCAUUUCGUAGCGUUUGUAGAUGGCCCCAUCUCUGUCACAACCGUUGUGUUUAUUUCUUCAUAAAACUGCACUUUUGUACUGAAUCACAAGAUGAAUGCCUGAUAAUAGACAUGGCACGCCAACAACUGCUCCGUCAUUCAGUGUUCAGUGUCCCAUUUCACUAGUUCAAAUGUACAUAUAUAGGCUACAAAUACAAUCAAAAUAUAGAGAAACUUUAAAUGCAAAGUAUGUAAUAAAAGAAAUAAAGGCAAAUAUAAGGGCAUAUUGUCUGUGGUCAGUGAAGUUUUUCCAUGAAAUAAGAAACUGCAAAGAUGUGAAGUAAAGUUGAAACACACCAAACGGACUCUUUCUUUUCUUUAUUCUACAGAUGUUAUGUACGUGAGCAGGCUUCAAACUAUUUCCACUGCAAAAACAGUAGGCCUGAUAGAGUACGUGAAGCUGACGUCAUGCCUCGUUGAGUUCUGGGAAACUUCUUUAUGGUUUAUCUGCCAUACCAUGAGGAUCAUGUUUCCUAUCUGCUACUGAGUUUAGGAGAAGUUCGAUUUUCUGUCGUGAUGUCACCAGUGAAUGCCAUUCACGCUGCAUCAAGAAUUGCAAAAGUAAAUCAUCGGAUCAUCGUUGCGAGAGAAAACUGAAUAAUGUAAUGCAACACCAACAGAUGCAGGUCGUGGAGAUGACGAGAAGACGCUGGAUGGAAAAUGUAUUAAUAAUGUCACUGAUUAAACCCAUUGCCUAUCACUCAAUAAAGAAUCACAAUGUUGGGUGUUUUUGAAAGUUAUGAUUUAGUUUAGUUUAAAAAUUAACAUUACCUUUGCAAGUAUGACUCUCAUUCUGUUUGAGUUAGUAGAACGUGGACAUGCUCAGCAUGAAUAAUGUUUAAUUUGGCUUAAAGUCGGAAUUGUAAAGCAUGCAAAUCAUAGACUGUUGCAAAUACACAUAUGAGCAAAAAUUUAACGGAACAUGUUUCUUUGCACAUCAAGCGUUUACAUCUUAUAUAAAGAAAACAAACGUGUAAUGCACUGUGACAGAGAUGUUAAAAGACCACAUUCUGUGCACACUUUACUAAUAAAGCAUUUGUAAUGAAA